RNAcentral lists this long non-coding RNA (517 nucleotides) under Rattus norvegicus (Norway rat). RNAcentral's name for it is "long non-coding RNA NONRATT015198". Lineage: Eukaryota; Metazoa; Chordata; Mammalia; Rodentia; Muridae. The record is from RNAcentral.
CAGAAAGACAAGAAGCCUAAGAAGUCAACCUGGAGGUUUCAUUUGGACCUUACUCAUCCAGUAGAAGAUGGAAUUUUUGAUUCUGGAAAUUUUGGUACCUUCCCUAGUGACUAGGGUUUUCUUCCCUAGUUUUGCAUUUUUUCUGUUUGAAAACAGGAACAGUUUCUACGGGAGAAGGUUAAAGUCAAUGGAAAAACUGGAAAUCUUGGAAAUGUUGUUCACAUUGAACGCCUGAAGAAUAAAAUCACAGUUGUUUCUGAGAAACAGUUCUCAAAAAGGUAUUUGAAAUAUCUUACCAAGAAAUACCUUAAGAAGAAUAAUCUCCGUGAUUGGCUUCGUGUGGUCGCAUCUGACAAGGAGACUUACGAACUUCGUUACUUCCAAAUUAGUCAAGAUGAAGAUGGUUCAGAGUCUGAGGACUAAUUGGCCUUUGCUUUUAAUAAAAUGGAAAUAUGCUAAAGAAACCUAAAAUCAGACUUGUUGAGCAAAUAAAAAUCAUUUUACUCUAUAAAAGCAA